UCUUAAAUAGAGACCCGUAUGAAAGGCAAGACGAGGGUUUUACUGUCUCCCUUUUUGAGUCAAUGAAAUUGAUCUCCCCGUGCAGAAGCGGAGAUAAACACAUUAGACGAGAAGACCCUAUGGAGCUUUAGACACUAAAGCAGCCCACGUUAAGCACCCUUGAUUAAAAGACCAAACUAAUUGUAAUCUGCCCUACUGUC
RNAcentral lists this ribosomal RNA (200 nucleotides) under Genypterus blacodes (pink cusk-eel). RNAcentral's name for it is "partial 16S ribosomal RNA". Lineage: Eukaryota; Metazoa; Chordata; Actinopteri; Ophidiiformes; Ophidiidae. The record is from RNAcentral.